Pelobates cultripes (western spadefoot toad) is the source of this 657-nucleotide non-coding RNA. NCBI's taxonomy places the organism in Eukaryota, Metazoa, Chordata, Amphibia, Anura, Pelobatidae. The record is from the annotation of a GenBank genome assembly.
UUUUUUUUUUUAACAGAACUAAAAUGCUUUCAAUGCCAGAGGAGCUACUUUAUAUUGCAUACAGGUCAAGAGUCUGAAUAAACAAAUCCUUAUGAAGUGGACUGAAAGAGGGUGACUUUUUUUUACAUAUAAUUAUUUUUAUUUUGCUAUCAACUACAAAUAGGAUAACUAUGUGUUUUUUUGUGUCGAUUUGCAACAUGGUUUACUUAUAAGGUCUGUACUCUGAUCCAAGUCUUUAAUGUGUGUAAUUCAGGAUCGAAUUAGGCAACUUUACUUUAACCACUGGGUUUUUUAACAUUUCAGUUCUUUUCAUUUAUUCAGAUGCAAGUCGUGAGCAAGAAUUGAAGAUGUAAAUGUAAUAACUUCGGGAUAAGAAGGAAUAGAUGACCUGUGGUAUAGAUGUCUCCAUAAACAUUUUAGGACAUCCUGUUCCCAUACCUUAUUUACUUUUUUACUAUUAGGAUUUAUUUGAUAAAGGAGAGAGAUGUAGACGAUAGACCCAUGUGGUCUACUGUGUGGGGCCAGAGAGAUCUGUUGCUCACAUUCUAUGCAAACAUCUAUAUAGUUCCCCAUACUACAGUUUGAAUUAUACGAUCAGGAACCACCAGAAAGUACUCAAUGGUGGGUAACCAUGAUUUUACUCUAACAUCAAAAAAC